CCCGGCGGGGAUCAGGUUUCGUUUCCAAAUCCCACCCGUCACCCCACCCACUAGCAGAGCCCGUCCCGGGCAGCUCUUCCUCCACCUCCUGUUCCCCCGCCUGCGGCACAGGGGCAGGUAGCCAGCAAGGAAAGGGGGCCCAGCAGCACGGGAGCUUUGGAAGAGACUAGGCAAAGGGUACUGGAGAUGAAUCCGUAACUACGGAAUUCAGUCGAUUCCCUCCAUCGCUUUUCCAGGACACUUGUAAUUGGAGCGUCUUACAAAAUGCUGUACUGAGCGCACACCUUGCCACCAAGGCCCCUUACAAAAGAUCUCCAGCGUCAUCUCUUACAAGCAGAAAGAAAAGCCACAAAGGGGGUCAAGGGAGAGGAUGGGGAGCUUGGGGCCUUUGUAACAGACUGAUAUACAGGCAGUCCCCGACUUCCAACAUUUCAAGUUUAUAAAUGUACACGCGUUUCAACUUUCUGACAUCGGUUUCAACUUUACAAUGCUUGAUCUGACGCAACGCCACACCAGCAAACGAGUUCGCUGUAUCGCCCGUGUCCCUGGAGAACAUCUGUCCAAACUUGCUUGGACACUUUCUAUAAGAAAGCAGACAAGACUCCCGAGAAGACUCCAGCCAAGAACCCUUCAAAAAGUCCAACCAAGAGCCCUUCAGAAAGUCUAGCAAAGUCACCUCAGAGAAGUCUUUCCAAACUGCAGCUGCCUCAAGAGUCAGGAGAUUCUGAGACAAGGAGCAGCAAGAACCACAGAUGUCAAUGUGUCAGAGUCUAUCUGCAUCUCUGUACAGCUGCUUUUAAUGAAAGCUGACAGAAGGGUGAAGAGAAGAGCUCACAAACCAGCCUUCUUUUGCCUAAUCCUACUGGAAUUUAUGAACUAGGAGAUGAAUACAGCAGAAUCCAAUGGUGUUGAGAAGAAUCCCAGACCAAGAAAGAAAAUGCUGUUGGGGAAGUGGCAGAAGUUAUACAGUGCUGACUGUUAGAAAGAGACAGGGGAUUUGAUCCAUGGAGGAUAAGCAAAGUCUUGUCUGGACCAGUCCCUUAGCACGACCCUCUUUUGGAUCUAUUUGGAUAAAAGGAAAGGGAUAUACCCACAGAAAGCACAUGUCCUGGGUCAAAAACCUGGUUUCAAUCCUUCCUGUUUGUCCAAAGUUCUGUCCAGCUUUUGCACAUCAUUUCUAUAAUAUGUGACCUUCAAUUUACAGCUCAGGAACAGGAGUUUGGAUUCCUGAGUUUUAUUCCCAGUUUGCCACAGAUUUGCUCUGAUUCCUUGUAUAAAUAUUUCACCAUCCUCUACUGUUUGUUCACCAGUAAAUUGGGAAUAACAUUUACCCCAACUCCAAAGAGUUUGCUGUGUUUCCAAACAAACCUCCCAUCACCCAGACAUCUAUAGUACUUUCCCCUGAAGGAGCAUUAAAAGCCCCAGAAUCAACAACUUCCCAAAUCCCAAGACUGCUCCUUCACAAGAAUAAGGGCUGAAAGCUCAUGCCUAGAGCUGCUAAUGAAGCAAAGCUGCUACCCAAAGAUAGAGCACACAAGAGCCAAAGGGCUGAAAUUUACAUCUUUAAUAUUGUGUAUUCACUUUACACCACAUGAACCGUUCACAAGACAGACUGCACCACACUAUCCUCCUCCGCGAUCCCAAGCGUUUCCAGUUGCAGCUAGAGAUCAAACACAAGCACCCUAUAUCUUCCCUCCCCAACCAAAGAGAUUAUACAGUGCUCCACAAAGUACCACUUGCUUAAAAAGAGAAACAAAAAAGACAACAUUAGUUUAGUGCCACUCCC
Molecule: long non-coding RNA, 1786 nt
Organism: Alligator mississippiensis (American alligator)
Lineage: Eukaryota; Metazoa; Chordata; Crocodylia; Alligatoridae
Exons: 2
Source: RefSeq, a predicted model, not a curated record